GUAGGUGGCAAGCGUUGUCCGGAAUUAUUGGGCGUAAAGCGCGCGCAGGCGGUUCUUUAAGUCUGAUGUGAAAGCCCACGGCUCAACCGUGGAGGGUCACUGGAAACUGGAGAACUUGAGUACAGAAGAGGAAAGCGGAAUUCCACGUGUAGCGGUGAAAUGCGUAGAGAUGUGGAGGAACACCAGUGGCGAAGGCGGCUUUCUGGUCUGUAACUGACGCUGAGGCGCGAAAGCGUGGGGGGAGCAAACAGGAUUAGAUACCCUGGUAGUCCACGCCGUAAACGAUGAGUGCUAAGUGUUAGGGGGUUUCCGCCCCUUAGUGCUGCAGCUAACGCAUUAAGCACUCCGCCUGGGAGUACGGCCGCAAGGCUG
Molecule: ribosomal RNA, 372 nt
Filed under: uncultured organism
Description: partial 16S ribosomal RNA
Rfam family: Bacterial small subunit ribosomal RNA
Source: RNAcentral